AGCCGAGCCCGUGGAGGAGCCAGCUACUACCCUGAAAGCACGGAGCUCAGCAAGAUUCUGUAAACAAAGUUCCUGUGAAUCAGACACCACCGUCUGACUGAGAGGAGCAGUGAGCGUCUUUGAGGGACUGAGGUUGGCCACUCUUUCCUGGUGAACUGGACAUGUUGGUUCGCUUGCACAUCAGGAUUUCUCUGUUGUUGUGUUUGUGUUUCGGGUGCUGGGGAUGGGCCCAGGGCGGGGACGUUGGGCCAGUGCGCUCGCCUAGAGCCCCACGCCAGCCCUCCUCGGGUUAUCUGUGAUUUCUUUGCUUGUGAUCUCUUUCAUCUCUUGGUUGGAAUGUAAUUAUAAGUUGAUUCCUAUAAGCUCUUUAAGUUUUUUCCCCUUGGCUGUACUGGGAAUUGAAGCCAGUGCCUCACACAUGCCAGACAAUCACUGAGCUGCAUACCCAGACCUCUAAAAAAUGUUGUUCUCGGAGACAGGGUCUCGCUAAGUUACCAAGGCUGGCCUCACACUUGCCAUCCUCCUGCCUCAGCCUCCCCUGGGGCUGGGAGGACAGGUCAGACCACCACGCCUGGCUACAGUGCACGUGUAUCACCCUUCCAGCUCUCCCGGGAUCUGAGGCUCAGGAGUGGUUCUUCCGCGGUGGCAAUCAGAUGUCAGCCGGGGAUGCUGUCCUUUGAAGGCCUCAUGGUGAUUCACUUUGAAGGUGGCUCAGUUGCCUGGCUGCCCAGUUGGUGCGGGUUGUUGUUCAUGGACUUAUGGAUGAAUGGAUUAUCAUGGGAGUGGCUUUGGUGUACAAGUGGGCUCUCUCUGCCACGCUCGAUCUGUCUUGCCGUGUGGUGCCCUCUGCCAGGUUGUCAUGCAGCAGGAAGACCCCCACCAGGUGCCAUCAUCAGGUUCUUAAGACUUCCCAGCCUCCGGAGCCAUGAGCCAGAUAAACCUCCGUUCUUUAUAAACGACCCCACCUGUGGUAUUCAGUUAUAGCAACAGAAAGCGGACUAAGGCAUAUGGUAAGUAACAUAGUCAUGGAAACAGCCAUCAUGAAGGCAGAGGUUCCUAUUCAGAGUUCCCCUCAGAGGGCAGGCAUGGCCCACUAUACAGGGGGUCAGUUGAGGCAGAGAGAACCAAGGGAAAAUGUGCUAGAGCUUUUAUUGUGCUCUCCAUGGGAAAGCCUAAUCGUGCAGAGUUAGGUUUAGGAUUUGGCAAGUUUGGAUAAUUUCAGCAGAUUCUAGGGCAUAGGGCUGUCCCCGGUUGCCUGGUACCUGGCCCUUGAGUAACUAGGACAGAGGAAUAUUGGCCUGGGGGGUAAGAGUGUCCUGUGCUGUGUAAACUUGGGACGGUUGGUCUUUGGAAAGGCGUGUUCCUGGGCACACCAGCUGUUUACUAUCUCUGGAACUUAGCUAACUGUGGGAGGGGCCGUUGCUCAGGAUGGCAGCGUCAAGAGGGCAAAACAUGAGAUAGUAUCAGACCUAAGAAGCUUGGCACACAGACCUCUCCUCCCUCUGCCCUCUGCCCACCAGCUUCCUCCCCCGACCCCGCGCACCUGACCCUGCUCAGAUCCUUGCUCUGCCUGCCUGCCUUCCACGGCAGGGCUCUGUCCCUGGUCCUGUCUGCCUCCCUGGGUCCUGAGCCAUCAGGUUCACCCCGGGGACUUCUGGGUCCCUCCUGGAGCCCUGGAUCCAGGAGUCCAGCCACCUCCCAAUGCCCCGAUGUCUGUCAUCCCCAGAGCUCAUCUCAACCCUGUGCUCUGCCCAGGUGGGGGCUGAGCAGCCUCCCUCUGGGCUCCAAGGCUGUUCCCGUGGCUGAGUCACGCAAAGACAUGAGCACACCGCGAUUUCUCAGAAAUCGGCUCUUUGCCAAUCUGGCCCCAAAGAGCACGUGACCUUGAGGGACACAGAGGGGGCUGUGCUGGCCUUCCUCCCCUGCAGCCGGCUGCCCACCGUCUCAGUCCAUUUUCUAGGCUAUAGCGAGCGCCACGGACUGGGUCCAUUAUGAGCAGUGGAAGAGCAUCUGUGCUCUAUUCCGGGAGUCCCUGCGCCUGGCGCCAUCAUCAGGCCGGGGGCCUUAGCGGUGAGUCCCAAAUGGCAGAAGGGCCAGGAAGUGUGCAAGAGACGGAACCGGGCCCCACUUGCCCUGUUUAACAGGACCUGCUACUGCAAUCAGCAAUCCCAGGACAGAGGUUCCACCUUUUAAGACUGUUAGGCAGUCACCCUGCGCUACCUGGGCGGGGCUGUGGCCGGGAGGCAGGGCACUUGUGGGCAGGCUGGAGGCCCGGAGUCCGUCCCCAGCCCUGGAACAAACAAGCUCCAGAAUGAGCUUUGGAGGGAAUAUUCUAAGCAUGGCCCUGGUCAGAUCUGAUGGGUCUUCCUCCUUCACCUCUCGGAGUCCCUCUUCCUCUGUCCCAGUGCCCGUGUUUCCAUUCAUCUGCCAAGACGCAGACACCUGACUCUGUCUGCCCCCAGACCCAGCCUCAGCCAUUAGCCAGAGGGGAUCCUGAAACAGUCACGGAGGGCAUCUCCCACCCCCGCCUAGAAGGCCUAUUGCCCCGAAGAAAGCUCAACCUGACCCUGGUCUGAGUCUGUCCCCCAGGGCUCCUGGGAUGGAGGGGUGGUCCCCAGGAUAGGGAUGCUGAGAGAUGACAGGUUGUUAGGAGUUGGGGGUCCAGUGGCGGUUGUUUAGCUCACUGAGGGCGCUAGAGAGGACCCCAUGCUUUGUGGAACUCUGGUUAGCACUCAUCAGAGUACUAGUUCUCAAUGUCAUAAAGAGAGCAGGUCUGGCCCGGGCAUGGUGGCACAUACCUGCAAUCCCAGCAACUUAGGAGGCUGAGGAAGGAGGAUCACAAGUUCAAGGCCAACCCCAGCAACUUAGAGGUAGGAAGUAGGCCCAAAAUAAUUUAGUGAGACCUUGACUCGAAACAAAAAAAUAAAAAGGGCUAGGGAUGUGGCUCGGUGGUAAAGCACCCCUGGGUUCACCAUCCCCAGUACAAAAAAAAAAAAAGCCCCGUGAUGCACCCAGAGGAGAGCCGAUAUGGGUACCAUGCCCUUGAACCUCCUGAGCUGUGUGCUAAGGAAGCCUCUUUUCUUUAUAAAGGACUCAGCCUCAGGAUCUCAUUGUAGUUACAGCAAACAUGCCUCUUAGAUGGAGCCACAAGCCCUUCCCUGCUAAACUCUGUAGGCCUUUGGGCGGCCGUGAGCAUUUCCUGUUGCCUAGACCACAGGCCCCUGGCUUACUCAUCACCAUGCCAACACAUCCUCUGUCUGCCUCAAAGUCACGUCCUCUCUGCUAUCAGAUUAAUAAAGAGCAGAUUUUGAGAAGUCAUGGUGUGGGUGUGGGUGCGGACAUGGCAGGUGUGACCGAGCCCGGGGGAACAGCCUUGGAGCAGGGCAGUUAGACGAGGCUGUAAAAGUCACCCAUCACCUCCCAUGCAGCCACCUUAUUGGGGGACUCUAUCCUGCAGAUAAACUUGAGCACACGAGAGAAUUCACAGGAAGUGAGUCUGUGCU
Molecule: long non-coding RNA, 3503 nt
Filed under: Marmota monax (woodchuck)
Lineage: Eukaryota; Metazoa; Chordata; Mammalia; Rodentia; Sciuridae
Source: RNAcentral